GGUCUCGUGGCGGAAUGGUUACGUAGCGGACUGCAAAUCCGCGUAUCCCGGUUCGAUUCCGGGCGAGACCUCCA
This 74-nucleotide transfer RNA is filed under the name Hyphomicrobiales bacterium. RNAcentral's name for it is "tRNA-Cys". It matches the Rfam family "tRNA". From Rfam's summary of the family: Transfer RNA (tRNA) molecules are approximately 80 nucleotides in length. The record is from RNAcentral. Lineage: Bacteria; Pseudomonadati; Pseudomonadota; Alphaproteobacteria; Hyphomicrobiales.